This 406-nucleotide ribosomal RNA is filed under the name uncultured bacterium. RNAcentral describes it as "partial 16S ribosomal RNA". It matches the Rfam family "Bacterial small subunit ribosomal RNA", at positions 30 to 526 of the family's 1533-position model. The record is from RNAcentral.
AUUGAACGCUGGCGGCAGGCCUAACACAUGCAAGUCGAACGAGUGGCGGACGGGUGAGUCAUGUCUGGGAAACUGCCCGCUGGAGGUGGAUAACUACUGGAAACGGUAGCUAAUACCGCAUACCAUCGGAUGUGCCCAGAUGGGAUGAGCUUGUAGGUGAGGUAACGGCUCACCUAGGCGACGAUCCCUAGCUGGUCUGAGAGGAUGACCAGCCACACUGGAACUGAGACACGGUCCAGACUCAUACGGGAGGCAGCAGUGGGGAAUAUUGCACAAUGGGCGAAAGCCUGAUGCAGCCAUGCCGCGGGUAUGAAGAAGGCCUUCGGGUUGUAAAGGACUUUCAGCGGGGAGGCGUUACCCGCAGAAGAAGCACCGGCUAACUCCGUGCCAGCCGCCGCGGUAAUAC